UAUUAAUGUAUUUAUUUUGUUGUCCCCCCUCCCUGCUUGAUACAUGGCAGGGAGGAGGGCUCUCCUUCCCUGGUGGUCCAGUGGCAUUGGCAGUUCAGUGGGGGGAGGAGGAGGGCCGGCAGGAAGCAUUUACUUACCUCUCCUGCAGCUCCUGUCAGCUCUCUCCUCCUCCGCGCCGGUCCGUGCAGCUCCUCUGUCAGCUCCCAGUGUAAGUC
Non-coding RNA from Pelobates cultripes (western spadefoot toad), 215 nucleotides. Lineage: Eukaryota; Metazoa; Chordata; Amphibia; Anura; Pelobatidae. The record is from the annotation of a GenBank genome assembly.